CUCCAUCCCCCUUUUACUUCUCUCUCCCCCGUCUCUCCUCCCUCCCGCCUCCUUUCUCCCUCUCCCCCUCCCUCUCUCCUCUGAAUAAGCAAGCUUUUGCCUCUAAAAGUCACAAGUAAUCCUCGUGUGUGACAGAGAGAGAGAGAGAGAGAGAGAGAGAGAGAGAGAGAGAAACGAGCUGGCGGAGAGGAGCAGAAGGCAGGAGGGGAAAUCUGGCACAACGGCUGGGAGAGGAAACUUGAUGCUUCUGGGCCACCAUUUGCCAGGGCCUCGCUCGAGCCGGCGCCUCGGUUCCUGCCCAGCUGGAUUUGGGGGGCAGCAUUGCCUGGCGCAGGGAGAUCAAAUGAGACUGCAAAGAAGCAUAAAAUGAAUAGACAAUCCAACCAACCAAAGACCGGGGGCAGCAGCAGGCCAGCAAGACGGCAUCUUCUCCUUCCCAGCCUAGAAGCCCUGUGAAAUCGAGGAUCUUCCCCCUAAAACACAUACACACAAGAUAUGUGCAAUCAAGCUGCCACCGCUUGGUAAAAAGCCAUGGUGCCUAACCAAAAAGGAUCAGGAACAGAUCCUUGAAUCAGCUGUCACUUCUAUAGAAUGGGAUUUUUUUUUCCUUCCUCCUUAACCUGCGCUGGAAAUUGCCGUUGGCUUUAUACAUCUCUAUAGAGAGAGGCUAAAGAGUCUUGCGUGAGAAAGAAGCAAUUUACAAUGCAAAUAGAGGCCUGUGAAGGGACGGAUGCUGCUGCUCACUCGUAACAGCUUGCUGCACCUUAAUAGCUGGUUUUAUUUUCUGAUAUUAAUAGAUGAAUUGUUGGCUAACGCUGCCGGAGAUUACUUGCUGAAAGGAAAAAGAAAAGUUCGGAAUAAACUCUGAAGGCAACAGAUCUCGUUUGGAUGUUUUAGCCGCGCACACACACAAACAGAAACCAGGUCAUAUUUACAUAAAAGGAGGAAUCUUAAGCGCGGCAAGUAUCCUGGACGACCACUCUUCGGUACUGCCAGAAAGGAUCAGGACCUGGAGUCUGGCAAGAGGAAGACAGAGGCCUGUGUGGGAAGCGAGUUGUUAUCUUUGGUUAUCUAGCUGUAUGAGUGUAUUGGUCUUCAUAAAGCUAGAUAACCGAAAGUAAAAACUCCUUCAAGAUCGCCGGGGAGCGUGUGAGAAUGAAAGACUACAGCCGAGAGACAGUAAAAACCAGAAAGGUCAGGAAUACUUAUUGAAUCUAACUUUGUUUUUGUUUUGUUUUUUUCCUUAUGAUUAAAGGUGGGAUGAGAGAAAAUUAAAUGACACACACAUGCUAAAAUAUCAAGGUUCCAGAUAUGUCUUGAGAGGGGUUGUUGCAGCUGCAAAGGAGAAGUGUAUAGUGAUAAUGAGUAAAGAUGCAUGUGCAGUUUGUUCUAUUUUAAGGCAAAAGUUAUAUCAGGGAUUUUUUUCUUAGAAAGGUGUUGCAGAGAUGUCUGGUACCUAGUUUAAAAAUGAUUCCAUAAUAUGUAGACUUGGGCAGUUCCUUUGGGAGGCACCUCCCUCUCAAAAUUUGAAGAUUGUGCUUGGAAAUUACUUUACAUGUAUUUGGGCUGUAUGUCAAUUUGUACGAAAUUAGACUUUCAGAAAAGUUUAUACUGGAAGGUUAAUAAUUUGUAUCUACUGAGGACUUAGAGCUAGCAGGCAAAAU
RNAcentral lists this long non-coding RNA (1664 nucleotides) under Homo sapiens (human). Its description in RNAcentral is "non-protein coding LINC00461:4". The stretch from base 1052 to 1127 matches the Rfam family "mir-9/mir-79 microRNA precursor family". The record is from RNAcentral. Lineage: Eukaryota; Metazoa; Chordata; Mammalia; Primates; Hominidae.